CCUACGGGCGGCAGCAGUGAGGAAUAUUGGUCAAUGGGCGCGAGCCUGAACCAGCCAAGUAGCGUGAAGGAUGACUGCCCUACGGGUUGUAAACUUCUUUUAUAAAGGAAUAAAGUGAGGCACGUGUGCCUUUUUGUAUGUACUUUAUGAAAAAGGAUGGGCUAACUCCGUGCCAGCAGCCGCGGUAAUACGGAGGAUCCAAGCGUUAUCCGGAUUUAUUGGGUUUAAGGGACGCGUAGAUGGGUUGUUAAGUCAGUUGUGAACGUUUGGGGCUCAACCGUAAAAUUGCAAUUGAUCCUGGCAGUCUUGAGUACAGUUGAGGUAGGCGGAAUUCGUGGUGUAGCGGUGAAAUGCUUAGAUAUCACGAAGAACUCCGAUUGCGAAGGCAGCUUACUAAACUGCCACUGACAUUGAUGCUCGAAAGUGUGGGUAUCAAACAGGAUUAGAUACCCCUGUAGUC
Molecule: ribosomal RNA, 460 nt
Filed under: uncultured bacterium
Lineage: Bacteria
Description: partial 16S ribosomal RNA
Rfam family: Bacterial small subunit ribosomal RNA
Source: RNAcentral